Molecule: long non-coding RNA, 691 nt
Organism: Trichoplusia ni (cabbage looper)
Lineage: Eukaryota; Metazoa; Arthropoda; Insecta; Lepidoptera; Noctuidae
Exons: 3
Source: RefSeq, a predicted model, not a curated record
UCUUCACGAACGAUCGAACACUUGUCGAGUAACAUACGUCGAUCGGCGACGAAUGUUAUUUUGUUCCUUUUUUAUUUUUUUAUUCAUUUAAAAAGACAAUAUAGCUUUCGUUGGACCGAGAGUCACUGCAUUGAAUGUUUUUGUCACUGAUUGUACGGAUACACCUUUACUGAUUAAAAUGGUCAUGCAUUUUAACAAUUCCUUAGAACCACCUUACAAUAAACACGUGUUUCAUUGUAUGGCGUGAUGUCCCAAUUGGUAUAAAUUGGAUUUAUACGUAGAACGCGAGGUCUGUCGCUCUGUGGCAUCGAUAAAACAACUGAGUUCUGAACUUGACGACGCAUCUUGGUGGCCUUGAGAACAAGUCCAGGGAUAAAGAAAUUGUUAAAUGUCCGAUGCAGCCGAUGUUACACAAUUUAUCGCAAAUGUGGAGGAGGGAGCGGGUUAGAAGAAACAGUGUCAGACUCUUACUGACCAAACCAGAACCGCCGUGCUACGUCAUCGUGUAUGGCAAUGCAUUGCAAUCCUUCAUACGGAAGUACAGUACCAUGUAAGAAAAUACUUAUUAUAUCAAAAAUUAUUUUAAAUGUUGUGACAUUUUAAGUUUGAUAUUAUUUUGCAGAAUAGAGGUGAGAUCAAAAUUGUUUAAAUGAAAUUUAUUGUUCGAUAAUAAAUGUUAGGACAUAAAUUA